Molecule: long non-coding RNA, 891 nt
Filed under: Chinchilla lanigera (long-tailed chinchilla)
Lineage: Eukaryota; Metazoa; Chordata; Mammalia; Rodentia; Chinchillidae
Description: lncRNA (ENSCLAG00000026211.1)
Source: RNAcentral
GCGGAGGGCCUGGAUCCCAUGGAAAUGUCCUGCAUAGUUCCAGCUGAAGACCUAGAGCCCAUAACAAUGCCUCCCAUGAAUCCAACUGGAGGCCUAGAACCCACAACAAUGUCUCAUGCCAGGCCUGUUUCACAGAUCUACGCUGGAAGGCCCAAAGGUCAGUGGUAGAAGCUAGAAAGUCUGUGACAGUGAGAUGAAGGAUCUGUGCUAGCAGGCUUAGGGAUCGACACUGGAGACAGAUAGUUAUGCACAAAGUCAGAACUAGAGCCCCCCCGCCGGCCCCCGAGGGUACCACAGCCAUCCUCAGCAACAGUGAGGUCCUGAGCUCCAAUGAAGAAGACAGCUGAGCUCCCAUCAGAAAACGCAACACAGCAAGCUUCUCCAGGAAACUUGCAGUGCACCAUCUUCCCCUCCAGAGCCAGGAAGUGAUGUUCAAAGUGAGGACUAGAGAUCCCCAAAGUGAAUCAAAGCUGUGUUCAAUGCCAACAAGGUCCCGAGCUCCUUGGAGGAUGAAAACAGCCAAGUUCAUUGGGAAAGCCAGCAUGACAAGCUCCUCCAGAAGCACCAACAGGUCCUUAAAGCUUCUAUCAGUUCCCAAAAGGCUUUCUUCUUCUUCUCCAGUUGUGCCUCCUAUGCAUCUGGCAACAAUCUCAGCAGCCUAUAACUUUCACCUCUGCGAAGACAGUUAAAGAGAGGAGUCAGAUGCAUUUGUAGAGGUAUGGUUAUUUAUACAUCCACUUAGACAAAUGCUCUAUGCUUUGGGAUCAUUGGUAAAAAGUAGGAUGCAGGUGUUUAAUGGCCACAGUAGAUGUAGAAAAGCUUGCUGUAAGAGUAGUUGAAGAUUGCUUCCCUCUCACGGUAGAUGCCUUUACAUUUUGUCACUUUUUUUCC